RNAcentral lists this ribosomal RNA (253 nucleotides) under uncultured bacterium. RNAcentral describes it as "partial 16S ribosomal RNA". It matches the Rfam family "Bacterial small subunit ribosomal RNA", at positions 524 to 776 of the family's 1533-position model. The record is from RNAcentral.
UACGUAGGGGGCAAGCGUUGUCCGGAUUUAUUGGGCGUAAAGAGCGUGUAGGCGGUCAGGUAGGUCCGUUGUGAAAACUCGAGGCUCAACCUCGAGACGCCGAUGGAAACCAUCUGACUAGAGUCCGGAAGAGGAGAGUGGAAUUCCCAGUGUAGAGGUGAAAUUCGUAGAUAUUGGGAAGAACACCGGUGGCGAAGGCGGCGCUCUGGACCGAGACUGACGCUGAGGCGCGAAGGCGUGGGGAGCAAACAGG